This is a long non-coding RNA of Rhineura floridana, 284 nucleotides long. RefSeq lists it as uncharacterized. The transcript has 3 exons. NCBI's taxonomy places the organism in Eukaryota, Metazoa, Chordata, Lepidosauria, Squamata, Rhineuridae. The record is from RefSeq and is a predicted model, not a curated record.
AGGAGGAAUCAUAUUGGCCAUUUCAAGGAUGUUGAAGACAUGCUUCAUGCAACUGAAUCCUUACUAUAAGAUUAUAAAAUACAAACAAAUGACAGAAAAGGACUGCUUGUCUAGAGGGAUUCCCGUCACUUCACAGCUGCUCAGACCGCCGUUUCCUCCCUAAGGUGUUGCGAUGGCUGUAGGGCCGCAUCUUCAUUUCCACAAAGGGUGAAAUGGCAGGAAAGUCUUUGAAACGUGAAAACUUCAAAUGAACAAACUUCUAAAGUUCAGAUACAAAACCUCAG